GCAGUGGUAGCUCAGCUGGAUAGAGUAAUCGGCUACGAACCGAUCGGUCGGGGGUUCGAAUCCCUCCCACUGCACCA
Molecule: transfer RNA, 77 nt
Filed under: Clostridium sp.
Lineage: Bacteria; Bacillati; Bacillota; Clostridia; Eubacteriales; Clostridiaceae
Description: tRNA-Arg
Rfam family: tRNA
About the family: Transfer RNA (tRNA) molecules are approximately 80 nucleotides in length. Their secondary structure includes four short double-helical elements and three loops (D, anti-codon, and T loops). Further hydrogen bonds mediate the characteristic L-shaped molecular structure. tRNAs have two regions of fundamental functional importance: the anti-codon, which is responsible for specific mRNA codon recognition, and the 3' end, to which the tRNAs corresponding amino acid is attached (by aminoacyl-tRNA synthetases). tRNAs cope with the degeneracy of the genetic code in two manners: having more than one tRNA (with a specific anti-codon) for a particular amino acid; and 'wobble' base-pairing, i.e. permitting non-standard base-pairing at the 3rd anti-codon position.
Source: RNAcentral